UGCCCUGCCGCCGCGCCUCUCUCCAAUCCCCGCCCCGAGCUCCACCGCAUCCAUACCUGCUCGUUGGCAGCAGGUGGGGCUCCACCUCGUCUAGCCCAACACGGGGAGGGCCAGGACGGGAGCGAGGCGACGGCGAGGUCUCUCUCUCUCACCCGUUCUUCUCCUUGCGCAUCCUCUCCUUGUCGUCGGACAGCGCAACCGUUGGCUCUCUCCUUGGGAUCGGGCAGGGGCAUCCCGGGGAGGGAUUGGGCUGACAAUGGAUUUGGUGUGGCGUGAGGUUGGUUGAGGUCUACGGCUGCUGUUGUUUCUUGCUCCCGAUGAAGAUUCCGACGAUUUGUGCUCCGGCUCUACUUCGAGCGAGCGCGCUGAUUCCUGCUAGGAACCUGUGGUCUGAAAGAGCUAAUUUGCAGAAAUUUCAUCCACCCGUCAAACUGCAAAUCAGUGUUUGGUUGUACCAAUGCUUCCUGAUAUAGGCCUGGUACCAUAUCUUUUCUCGCUGGACAUACCUUCCGACGGCGAGAGUGAUGACUUCUAUCCCGCUCCUCUCCCAGCAAGGCAUCACUACCUCCCUCCUG
Triticum dicoccoides is the source of this 575-nucleotide long non-coding RNA. RefSeq lists it as uncharacterized. NCBI's taxonomy places the organism in Eukaryota, Viridiplantae, Streptophyta, Magnoliopsida, Poales, Poaceae. The transcript is spliced from 4 exons. The record is from RefSeq and is a predicted model, not a curated record.